Molecule: non-coding RNA, 26 nt
Filed under: Mus musculus (house mouse)
Lineage: Eukaryota; Metazoa; Chordata; Mammalia; Rodentia; Muridae
Source: RNAcentral
UCUGAGACUCAGAAAAAACAAAGUGA